UGGCUAUUGACCAUCAAAGGGUCGCCUGAAUAUGACGUCGCUACACAACCUUUUUAAAAUGGAUGCUAGAAGGCAUCGAUGUCGUUCGUUCUCUUAAUACAUCCAUGAUGUCGUUAUAGCAUCAUGUCUCUCAGUAAAGGAAAACGAUUUGCCUGCAUCAACCCCAAGCAGAACAUUUCUGACUUUCCUGCUUUGAAGGACUGUCUGCCAGGCAGGUAUGAUUACCAUGUAUGUGAUUAUAAAACAUUAAGUGAGACAGGUGAUCAUAUUAACUAUAGGGCCAUUCUUCGGUUGGCCUUGUACACAGAGUAUGAUAUAAAGCUGUGGCUGAAAAGUCACACAGUCACCUGGAGGGUGGACCGAACAUAUCCAAGAAAGGGCCAGAAAGUUCUUUUCAAGGUGGACUUCAGAUGCCAACGCAAUACGAGACCUCGCAAAGAAAACGCGGCAGGCAGAAGAAGCCAGAUUACAAACUGCUCUGCUAAAAUGACUGUGACACUCCUACGCACUCAAGUGAGCAGAGGCAGGCAGAGUCUGUAAAAGCAAGGACCCUCACGUGCCUACCUUCCCCACAAUCGUGUCCAUCUGCAGUGACCACAACCACAACGUCUACGUGGCUGAUGCACUGAGCCACUGUGAUGUUGGGAAUGACACAAAAGCUAAACUGAACAAGCUUUUUGAAGCAGGACGCUGCCCAAGUUCAGCCUUAGAUGAGAUGAAGUACGAUCUAUCCCUGCAGACCCUAUCUUGCCAAUCCCCGUCUUUAUCACAUCAAGAUGCUGCAGCAGGAUUUGCGGAAAUGUGCCAGGAGCUGUCAGCCAUGGUCAACAGCGAUGCAUCUUUUACAGCCUCCUCAAUAGCUGCAGUAAAGGCCUUUAAAACAAUAAAAGACGAUCCGUCAAAGAUCAUGACAGCCUUACAUAUGUUUGGCUGCUCAAAAAACACUAGCUUGGCAUCUGUAAGAACUGUAGCCAUCCGUAGGGCAGCCAGGCAUGCUGGCUCUACUAUUCAUGCACAACCAACAGCAGUGGCGAGACGUCCUGCCAAGGUAACGGCAGGACCUGACCAUGUUUACAGCCAGCCAGCCAGUCAAGAGGGUCCGAACACAAGCUCCCCAUUAUCCGGCACACUCUGGGUCGGAGCGCAAAAGCCAGCCAGAAUGAAAGAAUGAAUUGUCAAUCUGUCAUCUUUCUAAAAACACACACACACACACACACACACACACACACACACAGUUUGUUUGUAUUUGGCUUCUUUAUUAAACACUUUUAAUGUGUUUAGUGUUUAAGUCUCAAUUGUUUCUUCUCACCCAGACUAAAGGUGCAGUAAGUGAUGCUGCACAAAGAUUGUUGGUAUUUGAACUCAACUGGCAAACAAAUACACCUCUCACAUCCAGAAAACAGUGUGGAAAGUGGGGACAGUAAUGUAAUCUGACAAUGUUUUUAUGGUUUAUGAAUUGGUUGUUGGCAGGCUUUUGCCUGGGAACCUAUUUAAGAAGCUACUGCACUGCUGUCCUAUUUGAACUGUGUUUUUUUUUGUUUCUUGAGCUAUGAGCAAAAAAGAAACAUAAGGAAACAGUUAGCUGCUAUCUUCCUCAGAGGUACAGUUACAUUGGUGUACUUCUCUCCCUUAGCAGACUAAGGAGGAGAGAGCACACAUGAGUGGAAGAUCACAGAGGCUAAGACUGAUGCUAGCUACGUUUGAAUUGAUUGCACAGAUUAUAAAGCUGUAAUGUUUUUGAAUUUAGAGUUAAUUGCAGUAAGUGGGUUUUGAGAGUUAAAAUGUGUACUUUCCUCCAUAUGUAAAGAUUCCUGUGUUUGAUAAUUUAUCUAUAUUUAACUCAACUAUAUUUGCCCAAUACUGUAUCUGUUUUUUUAAUUUUUUCAAAAUUAUUUUUUUAUGAUGUCUGCAUUUCAGAACAAAAACAAUAUAUCAUAAAUCAUUUUAGUAGCAAAAUUUUGCCAACAUAAAAGUUUAUUCUCUAACCGAAAACCUUUAAACGAUUUUUUUUGUGUGUGUGAAUGAAAUGCAACAAUACAUACAAAUUACAUUAGUUUCAUUGCCUGAAUUGCUACAUCCUUUUUUUCUUCUUCUUGGUAUUUAUUUACCACUUCCCCUGGUGUCUGUUGUUAUUUGUCAUUGCACUUGU
Molecule: RNA transcript, 2149 nt
Organism: Perca flavescens (yellow perch)
Lineage: Eukaryota; Metazoa; Chordata; Actinopteri; Perciformes; Percidae
Exons: 6
Source: RefSeq, a predicted model, not a curated record